This 781-nucleotide ribosomal RNA is filed under the name Shigella sonnei. RNAcentral describes it as "partial 23S ribosomal RNA". It matches the Rfam family "Bacterial large subunit ribosomal RNA", at positions 2150 to 2925 of the family's 2925-position model. The record is from RNAcentral. Lineage: Bacteria; Pseudomonadati; Pseudomonadota; Gammaproteobacteria; Enterobacterales; Enterobacteriaceae.
GGAGGCUUUGAAGUGUGGACGCCAGUCUGCAUGGAGCCGGCCUUGAAAUACCACCCUUUAAUGUUUGAUGUUCUAACGUGGACCCGUGAUCCGGGUUGCGGACAGUGUCUGGUGGGUAGUUUGACUGGGGCGGUCUCCUCCUAAAGAGUAACGGAGGAGCACGAAGGUUGGCUAAUCCUGGUCGGACAUCAGGAGGUUAGUGCAAUGGCAUAAGCCAGCUUGACUGCGAGCGUGACGGCGCGAGCAGGUGCGAAAGCAGGUCAUAGUGAUCCGGUGGUUCUGAAUGGAAGGGCCAUCGCUCAACGGAUAAAAGGUACUCCGGGGAUAACAGGCUGAUACCGCCCAAGAGUUCAUAUCGACGGCGGUGUUUGGCACCUCGAUGUCGGCUCAUCACAUCCUGGGGCUGAAGUAGGUCCCAAGGGUAUGGCUGUUCGCCAUUUAAAGUGGUACGCGAGCUGGGUUUAGAACGUCGUGAGACAGUUCGGUCCCUAUCUGCCGUGGGCGCUGGAGAACUGAGGGGGGCUGCUCCUAGUACGAGAGGACCGGAGUGGACGCAUCACUGGUGUUCGGGUUGUCAUGCCAAUGGCACUGCCCGGUAGCUAAAUGCGGAAGAGAUAAGUGCUGAAAGCAUCUAAGCACGAAACUUGCCCCGAGAUGAGUUCUCCCUGACCCUUUAAGGGUCCUGAAGGAACGUUGAAGACGACGACGUUGAUAGGCCGGGUGUGUAAGCGCAGCGAUGCGUUGAGCUAACCGGUACUAAUGAACCGUGAGGCUUAACCUU